UUGUACAUUUAUUGAAAAUGUAUUGAAAAUUAAACUCAUAUCUCAUUUACAUAAGUAUUCAAAACCCCUGAGUCAAUACUUUGUAGAAGCACCUUUGGCAUUGAUUAUAGCUGUGAGUGUUUCUGGAUAAAUCUCUACCCAGUGGGCAUAAAAUGUAAUAAAGACAUCUUUUACUGGUUGAAAUCUGGUCUGGACUUCAUAACCACAUCACAACCAGAUUAAGACGUCUUCCACAUUACGUCUUUUUGACGUCAUGAAAAAUAUUUAUGACAUUCUCUAUGGUCCUAUAGCUAUCAGAGAUUUGACCUACUUUAGAGAAUAUCCGAUACUAUAAAUGCUUUUGCUUUUACUAAAGGCUAUGUUUUUCGUAGUUGCAGUCCACCCAAUUGUGCACAUUAACUUCCUUAACAUGUGUUCUAGGCAACCAGCAUGUAAAACAAUGCACAAUAUGACAGGAUACCGUUAAAAAAUGGCACUGCUGUUAAAAUGCAGUAAACCUGCGGAACAAUGAAAUAAUGGUUGUUUAAUUAAUGAUAUCUGGUAGCUUGCUGUGUGUGUGUGUUGGCUUCCUAAUGGUAAUCUUUUGUCUGUGUUAACUAAUUGUACUGUUUAUUGUGCUGCACAUUUUCUUCUGUUCCACUGAAUGCUGUUUUGAUGUUCUAUUAUGACUAACAAAUAACAUGUAGGCCUAGUCUUUUAUUUCAGUAUCCUGCUACAAUCCACCAGGAUUUACAAAACCCUAUUUUUAUCACCUUUUUUUUUCAAUCAAUAAUUUGUACAAAAUGAUUGCACCUGAAUUUGACCCAGAUAAUAUGACUAUUAUAUUUUUCCUUAAAGCUUUUAAACAAUUAACAUAAUGUGUGCUGUAAUUGCAUUUUAAUUUCAGUAGCUAAAUUAGGAGGUAGGCAUAUCAGUUCCAGCUAAAACUUGGAUUGGAAUCCGUGCUUCAUGCACAGCAAUAGAUCUCAUCGCAGCCUACUCGAGCGCAUAGGUCAACAUUCCAUGUUAGUUGGGACAGCUCGCUCAAUUGGCUACACAACAACACAAUUGGAAAACUACAACAGUUUCUUGAAAUUUAAACAAAAAAACUAAAAUAUUUGCCUGCUGUGGUAGUCCCUGUUUUCCUGCAAUCUUGUUUUACUUUUGUAAUUGAAGCAGUGGUUUGUUGGGGAGAAGAACGUCAAGGAAAGAUUUGCUAGCUAGCUAUAUUGGCUGGCUAAUUUUAGCUAACUAGCUGUCUAACGUUAGCUCUCUGGCUAAUCUCCAUGGACAUGGUAAGUUUCAAUUUUACCUUUUGUAGGCGUUGGGUCUAGCUAGCUAACAUUUUGAUAUAUGUUUAGUUAAUGCAAGUAAAUGUGUGUGUUCUCUGCGUGUGUGCGUGAGAGAUGAUGAUCAUGUCAACAUUGUCAUGCUAGCUAUGAGUGUGUGUUCUGGGAGAGAGGGGGAAGAGAUGAUGAUUAUGACCACAAUACCUUAAAGAAAAGAUUGUCAACAUUGUGAGAGAGAGAUGGUACAUGAAUACACAUAUAGUAAACAUUUAUUGUGUGUGAGACGGUAAGCUAGCCUAAUUCUUGAAACGUGUACCCCCAAUAUGGAUGUUUAGACUUUCUUGAUUCAUCAGAGAUAUUUUUGUCUAUAUUUAAUUUGACAAUAUGAUACAUUUUGCCUGUCCCUGCUCCUCCUCAACACUCAUUCUAAGAUUACACCUCUCAACUGCCUUUUUCAAUUAUUGGUUCUCUUUUUUUUGCAGGAAACUAGCUUGGAUGGAAGGUUGGAGGAGGGAAAAAAAGGGAAUGAGUAUAGAAGUUAUCCAGUCUGCGGACUAAGAAAUGCAAAUAGACAGCAAAACAUAGAUGGAGAGAGAGUGUCUGUCUGCCGGAAGGCUGAGGUGCAACAUAGUCAAAGCACUUGCUAGGCUAACUUCGUGAAGACCUUGGGUAAUGGCUAAUCAUGAUUUGUCUUUACAGUUCCUGAAACAUGUCAAUGUCCUGAUGCAUGGCCUCUACAGCAGUGCCUGGCCACCCACUCAAUUACCAGUGACCUACCUAUUCUGCCACAUCCCAGGUAAAGGAGAGAGCAGAACCACUCCUCCUUAAAUGAAUAGUAAUUGACAGUGCACAACCCAUGAGUCCUGAUUCAACAUAAACUCACGUGUGCAGUUGCAGAGAAGAGGAAGAGAUUUGGAAUUACACCCAUUUCUAACAAUAUUUGUUGUAAGAAUGAUAUGACACACACAACUUAUUGGUUUCUAUUGCCUCCUACACAUACUUACAUUGUCGUAUUUAGCUUUCUUUGUUUAAGACUAGCAAGCUGUCCUCAAUGGGGGGAACCUUUGUCUGGAAUAAUGUCCACAGGAUUUUGGAGCGGUGUGUUAUAUAAGAAGUUAAAAAUGGCCCUCUGGAAAGACUUAAAAUAUGCCCGUGACCACCCUGAUGGAGGAGGAGGCAAAAUCUGACCCAUCACAUGACUCUUCUAGAGGGCCAUUAGGCUCCAGAUCUCCUUCUGUGUUCCGAGCUCCUUGAUGAGGAUCUACCCCAUCACACCACUCUGAUUAAUCAUUAAUCAAAUAAAACAAUGGGCCUUUAUAUACUCUGUCCCAGUCUUUCUAUGCAUCUAAUGUCUGAGUGAAUUAUGAACCAAUUACUGUAAAUUGUGAUGUAGAUUUGUUUUUGCCAUUGCUUGAUCUAUUUUAAAUGUAAGAAUAUGUUGCAGAUUAAAUGUAAUUGGUGACUAUGGAACAAAUAUAAACAAAUAUAAAUGUAAUCGGCAAUGUUUUCAAUAUCAAACUUUAUCCUCUGCAAUACUUUUUACAGUACACUCUUAGCACUUUUUUUUCUAUCUAGAACCUAAAAAGGUUAUUCAGCAGUUCCCAUAGGGGAACCCUUUGAAGAACCCUUUUUGGUUUCAGGUGAACCCUUUUUGGUUCUAUGUAGGACCCUUCCCACAGGGGGUUCUAUGUGGAACCAAAAAGGCUUCUCCCUAGAACCAAGAAAGGUUCUCCUAUGGGGACAGCUGAAGAACUUUUUUUUUAUUUUUAAGAGUGUAUGUAAUAAACUGUAAUCAUAACCUGGUAAUGACCACCUGACGAGGUCUUAACUAUGACCACCAGUAGGCUACAUCAUAUAGCAGCACAUAAUAGUGGUCAGAAUUAUGACCAACUGGUCGUAUGGUGGUCAGAAAAAUACAUAAUAUUCUGGUCAGUAAAAAGACAUAAAACAAAACGUCCUAUUUCAACCGUUUUGCGACCAGAAUAAUACGUCAUAAGACAUCUUGUCAACCAGGUUUGCCCACUGGUUAAGAGCUUUCCACACCUGGAUUGUGCAACAUUUUUUCAUAAAAAAAAAACAUUCUUCAAGCUCUCAAAUUGGUCGUUGAUCAUUGCUUGACAACCAUUUUCAGGUCUUGCCAUAGAUUUUCAAGUAGAUUUCAAAAUUGUAAAUCGGCCACUCACUCAACAUUCACUGUAUUCUUGUUAAGAAACUCCAGUGUAGAUUUGUGUUUUAGGUUAUUAUCCUGCUGAAAGUUGAAUUCAUCUCUUCGUGUCUCCUGAAAAGCAGACUGAACCAGAAUUUCCUCUAGGAUUUUGCAUGUGCUUAUCUCCAUUCCGUUUCUUUUUUAUUCUGAAAAACUCCACAGUCCUUAACGUUUACAAGCUGUGGUCCUUCUGUAGCUCAGUUGGUAGAGCAUGGCGCUUGUAACGCCAGGGUAGUGGGUUCGAUCCCCGGGACCACCCAUACGUAGAAUGUAUGCACACAUGACUGUAAGUCGCUUUGGAUAAAAGCGUCUGCUAAAUGGCAUAUAUUAUUAUAUUAUAUUAUACAAGCAUAUCCAUAACACCACUUAUGCUUGAAAAUACAGAGAGUGGUACUCGGUAAUGUGUUGUAUUAGAUUUGCCCCAAACGUAACACUUUGUUUUCAGGACCAAAAGUGAAUUACUUAGCCUUUUUUUUUACAGUAUUACAGUGGUAUUACAUUCCUUUAAAAGUUGCAGCUUGCUGUGGCGCAGCUUGCAUGUUGCCACAUAAUUCUAUGGCACUUUAAGUGUGAACCACUGGUACCAUUAAUGCUAGUUAGUGCUAGUUUGACUACCAUAUUUGAUAGCCUUCAAUAAUGGCUGUAAUAAAGAAUGCGGGCACACGGGAGACCGGGGUUCAAUUCCCCGAUGAAGAGGAAGGAGUAGGCUGUCCUUGUAAAUAAGAAUUUGUUCUUAACUGAUUCAAUAUGUGCUAUUUUGUAGUUGUGAUGUCUUCACUAUUAUGCUACGAUGUAGAAAAUAGUAAAAAUAAAGAAAAACCCUGGAAUGAGUAGGUUUCUAUUCCAAGAAAAAUGAAAACCCUCUGGGUUACUGUUAUGGCGCGGUACAACGUGACGGUCGGGAGUACAGUACUGGGCCAUUUAGCUAAAGAAUCUAUGUGUCGUGUGGGCAGGGCACACGGGAGACUGGGGUUCAAUUCCCAGACGUGGAGGAAGGAGUAGGCUGUCCUUGUAAAUAAGAAUUUGUUCUUAACUGACUUGCUUAGUUAAAUAAAGGUUACACUAAGAGCAUAACAUUUCCACACCCUAAUUUUCUAAUUCUGGUCUAACCAAUACCCAAACUGAGAUUAAGUGAAAAUAAAAAUCUAAUUUUAUUUAUCAAGACCAUGCUUGUCUCAGAGUAGCGUGAAAUGGUGCUAAAUCAUAUUGCUUCUAACUUCACCAUGCUCUUUAAAUAAAUAAGACCUGCACCACAUUUAACAGCACAUUACUCAACACUAGUGAGACUCAUGUCGCCUACGGUAGGCCAACAGUAUGUCUAAAAACGUGACGUGACUCUCCGCCAAUAAUUACAUAUAGAGGAUUGGAGGAUUCUAAAUUAAAACAAAAACUUGUGAUCCGUGGAUAUUCUGAAAGUAGUUCAAGGGUCGUAGGUCAUAAGACUAAGGAACUGUUGAAAUUUGAAUCUAUCAUAAAUUCUCGUAAAAUCUCAUGAGAUGCAAAUGGACAAACAAAAAACGUCCAAUGUGUAGGCCCACUGAGUGUACAUUAUGAACCUUGUUUGAGGUGUGUGGGUCACAUGACCAAGACUAAUGAAUUUCACAAAUAAAAUAAAAAAUUGUGUGAGAUGUAUACCAACAAAAAGCUAGAACCAGUUUUGAUAGUUUUAGGAGUAAUGGUUAAAGAGCUAUUGAAAUUUGAAAAAUGUGAUGUGUCACUAUGUUGAAGGAUUCUAAAUUAAAACCAAAAGCCACCUCAUGGGUCUCCCAGUGGCAGCCGGCACAGGUAUCGAACCUACAUCUGUAGCGACGCAUUUUGCACUGCAAGAGCCCCCAUCCAAAAAGUUUUAAAACAGAAAGGUGUUGGUAAAGAUAUAUUGUCCUGCUAAUAGCCCAUAAUGGGCUAUUAUAAUACUGUACAUGGUGUCCAGGUCAGGAUAACCAAAACAUUUCUUUAUUAAAGACUAUCAGAAAGAAUGUUGGUACUUAUUUAUUUUGAUCCAAAGCCAUGAAUGAGUGAGUCACUCAGCUUUAUGUAGGUGCCGGCUAUAUGACUGAUAAUAUAUAACGAUAUUUUGGACGUUAUUUUGUUUUCAAAAAACAAAACAGAGCAAUUGUAAUCUGAAUAAAUCCCAAAAUAAUAUUUGUAAAGGCCAAAACAUUUAUUUUUGUUUUUAGAGGGAGAGUAACACUGGGCCAAUUGUGCGCGCCCAUAAAGGCCAAAAUAUAGCCCUGCUAAUAGCCAUAAUAGCGCUGUACAACGUGACUGUGUGUUUGAAAGAGUAUUUUCCAGUAAGCAACAAUUUGUUUACCUUCAAUAGACAGCUUUGUUCCAGUAAUUCUGUAAUUCACUGAUAUUUAUUCCCAUAGUAAUUCAUUAUGGAUCCAAAGCUAAAUAAACAUCAGCAUUUUGAAAGAGUAUUUUUAUCAUUAUUUUAUUAACGAAAGCAUAAAGAUGUUGAAGAAAUACUGUACUGCUGUUUUGAGUUAGAAAUGUAACACUUCAGAGUACUUAAGCAUCAAAUACAUUGCAGGUAGGGGGAUGUUCACAACUACAGUAGCCGGGCUAUAAAGAGUCUAUUUACCUGAUAAUCGGACUACAAGUGUUUGAAAACCUGUUUUCAAAAUGUCACAAGCUGUUCAUCACUACUGUAAAUAAAAACACAGCAUCUUGUUUA
This is a long non-coding RNA of Oncorhynchus gorbuscha (pink salmon), 6151 nucleotides long. RefSeq lists it as uncharacterized. The transcript is spliced from 4 exons. NCBI's taxonomy places the organism in Eukaryota, Metazoa, Chordata, Actinopteri, Salmoniformes, Salmonidae. The record is from RefSeq and is a predicted model, not a curated record.